UACGGAGGGUGCAAGCGUUGUCCGGAUUUAUUGGGUUUAAAGGGUGCGUAGGCGGCCCGUUAAGUCAGUGGUGAAAGCCUCCAGCUCAACUGGAGAACUGCCAUUGAUACUGACGGGCUUGAGUACAGACGAGGUAGGCGGAAUUGAUUGUGUAGCGGUGAAAUGCAUAGAUACAAUCAAGAACUCCGAUUGCGUAGGCAGCUUACUAGGCUGUAACUGACGCUGAGGCACGAAAGUUAGGGGAGCAAACGGG
RNAcentral lists this ribosomal RNA (253 nucleotides) under uncultured bacterium. Its description in RNAcentral is "partial 16S ribosomal RNA". It matches the Rfam family "Bacterial small subunit ribosomal RNA", at positions 524 to 776 of the family's 1533-position model. The record is from RNAcentral.